Molecule: ribosomal RNA, 494 nt
Filed under: uncultured bacterium
Lineage: Bacteria
Description: partial 16S ribosomal RNA
Rfam family: Bacterial small subunit ribosomal RNA
Source: RNAcentral
GACGAACGCUGGCGGCGUGCCUAAUACAUGCAAGUAGAACGCUGAAGGAGGAGCUUGCUUCUCUGGAUGAGUUGCGAACGGGUGAGUAACGCGUAGGUAACCUGCCUGGUAGCGGGGGAUAACUAUUGGAAACGAUAGCUAAUACCGCAUAAUAGUAGAUGUUGCAUGACAUUUGCUUAAAAGGUGCAAUUGCAUCACUACCAGAUGGACCUGCGUUGUAUUAGCUAGUUGGUGGGGUAACGGCUCACCAAGGCGACGAUACAUAGCCGACCUGAGAGGGUGAUCGGCCACACUGGGACUGAGACACGGCCCAGACUCCUACGGGAGGCAGCAGUAGGGAAUCUUCGGCAAUGGACGGAAGUCUGACCGAGCAACGCCGCGUGAGUGAAGAAGGUUUUCGGAUCGUAAAGCUCUGUUGUAAGAGAAGAACGAGUGUGAGAGUGGAAAGUUCACACUGUGACGGUAUCUUACCAGAAAGGGACGGCUAACUACAU